GAUGAACGCUGGCUACAGGCUUAAAACAUGCAAGUCGAGGGGAAACGACGGGGAAGCUUGCUUCCCCGGGCGUCGACCGGCGCACGGGUGAGUAACGCGUAUCCAACCUGCCUCUGACUGAGGGAUAACCCGUCGAAAGUCGGCCUAAUACCUCAUGGCAUCGUCUGCGGGCAUCCAACGACGAUUAAAGAUUUCAUCGGUCAGGGAUGGGGAUGCGUCUGAUUAGCUUGUUGGCGGGGUAACGGCCCACCAAGGCUACGAUCAGUAGGGGUUCUGAGAGGAAGGUCCCCCACAUUGGAACUGAGACACGGUCCAAACUCCUACGGGAGGCAGCAGUGAGGAAUAUUGGUCAAUGGGCGGGAGCCUGAACCAGCCAAGUAGCGUGCAGGAUGACGGCCCUAUGGGUUGUAAACUGCUUUUAUGCGGGGAUAAAGUGAGGGACGUGUCCUUCAUUGCAGGUACCGCAUGAAUAAGGACCGGCUAAUUCCGUG
This 491-nucleotide ribosomal RNA is filed under the name uncultured bacterium. RNAcentral describes it as "partial 16S ribosomal RNA". It matches the Rfam family "Bacterial small subunit ribosomal RNA", at positions 28 to 507 of the family's 1533-position model. The record is from RNAcentral.